RNAcentral lists this ribosomal RNA (507 nucleotides) under uncultured bacterium. Its description in RNAcentral is "partial 16S ribosomal RNA". It matches the Rfam family "Bacterial small subunit ribosomal RNA", at positions 28 to 507 of the family's 1533-position model. The record is from RNAcentral.
GACGAACGCUGGCGGCGUGCCUAAUACAUGCAAGUCGAACGCAUUUUCUUUCACCGUAGCUUGCUACACCGAAAGAAAAUGAGUGGCGAACGGGUGAGUAACACGUGGGUAACCUGCCCAUCAGCGGGGGAUAACACUUGGAAACAGGUGCUAAUACCGCAUAAUUCCAUUUACUGCAUGGUAGAUGGAUGAAAGGCGCUUUUGCGUCACUGAUGGAUGGACCCGCGGUGCAUUAGCUAGUUGGUGGGGUAACGGCCUACCAAGGCUGCGAUGCAUAGCCGACCUGAGAGGGUGAUCGGCCACACUGGGACUGAGACACGGCCCAGACUCCUACGGGAGGCAGCAGUAGGGAAUCUUCGGCAAUGGACGCAAGUCUGACCGAGCAACGCCGCGUGAGUGAAGAAGGUUUUCGGAUCGUAAAACUCUGUUGUUAGACAAGAACAAGGAUGAGAGUGGAAAGUUCAUCCCUUGACGGUAUCUAACCAGAAAGCCACGGCUAACUACGUG